Molecule: long non-coding RNA, 1178 nt
Organism: Centropristis striata (black sea bass)
Lineage: Eukaryota; Metazoa; Chordata; Actinopteri; Perciformes; Serranidae
Exons: 3
Source: RefSeq, a predicted model, not a curated record
AUCUUGAAUCUAAGUCCUAAGUGAAUACCUGUGUCUAACUCUUUUUUUUCCUGUUUUCACCUCAGACCGUCUCACCCUCAGCCUGGACCCAGUUCUACCCAUCAGACCGAGAGCUCUGGAGCCCGGACCCCAUUCCCACACUUUCCAACACUGCCCCUAUACAUGUGGACAAUGCUUUCAAGUUUCUCAAACUAACAGCAGAGUUUGGGGGUCAUCAUGGUGAAAAUGUGCAGAUGGACGUGAAAUAAACAUAAAUGAUUCACUUUCCCGUCUUCAGAGGGAGGUCAGCGAGGAGCCGAGCUCGGCGGCGUCCGGCCGUGAACGGCGAGCGGUCGGCUGCUAAAAGGGAAAAUAUGUUUUUUUCAUCGGACCAUAUGGUAAUGUGAACUGAUGUCACAUCACAUAUGGAAAUAAUCCACAUCAAUAAGUAAAGAGUGGGUGAGCUGCUGGUCGUCCAAUCACAAUCAGGGAAUGAUGAAGUCAAACAAAACUGAACACGGAGUGACGCCUGUGAAGCCGCUCUGUAUUGAGUGCUGUUUAACCUGCAGUGAGACGCUCGGCCUCCUGGGAAACGUGUCCCGUUCCUCUCCUGCCUCAUCCAUCAUGGCCGCCCGAGGGAGGCGGCAGGUUGUUGUUGGGUCCCGGGAGGAAAGCUUCCGGCGCUGCAGGUUUCUGUUUUAAAUCCACACGGAGCAGAAGGACAUGAGCUCCUGCGAUAAAUAAAACGUUUUGUGUUUCAUCGUUCAGUGUCGCAGCAACACGAAGCAUCCAGACGGCGAACACGUUCUUAUUCUAUCAGCCGGAGAAACACCAAAACCAGCUUUAAUUUAGUGCCAUCAAUCAUCUCAGAGGAGAAAUAGUUCACUUUUACUUGUUUUUUGUUUAUUCAAGCAAACAUAUUUCCAUAUAUGGGAGAACAUUCCCACUACGGACUUUAAUAUGUUGUAUAUAAUGUUCAUACAUUUUUUAAUUUAUUUUUGUCUUAAUUGUUAAUACUUUUUAUAUUUCUACUUGUUUCUACUGUCAAUUGUUAAUACUUUAUAUGUUUUUACUUGUUUGUUUGUUACUGCCUCUUAUAUUUCUAGUUUAUACUGCUGUUUACUAUUUGUUGUUUUUUUUUGUUUAUUUUUUUGCUAUCCACUUUGCUGCUGUAAUUCUUGAAAUUUGGGAAAAGAAAA